UACGAGAGGCCCAAACGUUAUUCGGAAUUACUGGGCUUAAAGAGUCCGUAGGCGGCGCAGAAAGUAGGGUGUGAAAGCCCUCGGCUCAACCGAGGAAUUGCGCUCUAAACUACUGUGCUUGAGGAACCUAGAGGUGAGCGGAACUGAUGGUGGAGCGGUGAAAUGCGUUGAUAUCAUCAGGAACACCGGAGGCGAAGGCGGCUCACUGGGGGUUAUCUGACGCUGAGGGACGAAAGCCAGGGAGCGAACGGG
Molecule: ribosomal RNA, 252 nt
Filed under: uncultured bacterium
Lineage: Bacteria
Description: partial 16S ribosomal RNA
Rfam family: Bacterial small subunit ribosomal RNA
Source: RNAcentral